This 253-nucleotide ribosomal RNA is filed under the name uncultured bacterium. RNAcentral's name for it is "partial 16S ribosomal RNA". It matches the Rfam family "Bacterial small subunit ribosomal RNA", at positions 524 to 776 of the family's 1533-position model. The record is from RNAcentral.
GACGAACCGUCCGAACGUUAUUCGGAAUCACUGGGCUUAAAGGGCGCGUAGGCGGGCUGUCAAGUCUGGGGUGAAAUCCCACGGCUCAACCGUGGAACUGCCUUAGAUACUGACGGCCUCGAGGGAGAUAGGGGCGAGCGGAACUGUGAGUGGAGCGGUGAAAUGCGUUGAUAUUCACAGGAACUCCGGUGGCGAAGGCGGCUCGCUGGAUCUUUUCUGACGCUGAGGCGCGAAAGCUUGGGGAGCAAACGGG